GAUGAACGCUGGCGGCGUGCCUAAUACAUGCAAGUCGAGCGAACGGACGAGAAGCUUGCUUUUCUGAUGUUAGCGGCGGACGGGUGAGUAACACGUGGAUAACCUACCUAUAAGACUGGGGUAACUUCGGGAAACCGGAGCUAAUACCGGAUAAUAUUUUGAACCGCAUGGUUCAAAAGUGAAAGACGGUCUUGCUGUCACUUAUAGAUGGAUCCGCGCUGCAUUAGAUAGUUGGUAAGGUAACGGCUUACCAAGGCAACGAUGCAUAGCCGACCUGAGAGGGUGAUCGGCCACACUGGAACUGAGACACGGUCCAGACUCCUACGGGAGGCAGCAGUAGGGAAUCUUCCGCAAUGGGCGAAAGCCUGACGGAGCAACGCCGCGUGAGUGAUGAAGGUCUUCGGAUCGUAAAACUCUGUUAUUAGGGAAGAACAUAUGUGUAAGUAACUGUGCACAUCUUGACGGUACCUAAUCAGAAAGCCACGGCUAACUACGUG
This 497-nucleotide ribosomal RNA is filed under the name uncultured bacterium. Its description in RNAcentral is "partial 16S ribosomal RNA". It matches the Rfam family "Bacterial small subunit ribosomal RNA", at positions 28 to 507 of the family's 1533-position model. The record is from RNAcentral.